UACGUAGGGGCUAGCGUUAUCCGGAAUUACUGGGCGUAAAGGGUGCGUAGGCGGUCUUUCAAGCCAGAAGUGAAAGGCUACGGCUCAACCGUAGUAAGCUUUUGGAACUGUAAGACUUGAGUGCAGGAGAGGAGAGUAGAAUUCCUAGUGUAGCGGUGAAAUGCGUAGAUAUUAGGAGGAAUACCAGUAGCGAAGGCGGCUCUCUGGACUGUAACUGACGCUGAGGCACGAAAGCGUGGGGAGCGAACAGGAUUAGAUACCCUGGUAGUCCCU
This 273-nucleotide ribosomal RNA is filed under the name uncultured prokaryote. Its description in RNAcentral is "partial 16S ribosomal RNA". It matches the Rfam family "Bacterial small subunit ribosomal RNA", at positions 524 to 798 of the family's 1533-position model. The record is from RNAcentral.